UACGUAGGGUGCGAGCGUUAAUCGGAAUUACUGGGCGUAAAGCGUGCGCAGGCGGUUUUGUAAGCCAGAUGUGAAAUCCCCGGGCUUAACCUGGGAAUGGCAUUUGGGACUGCAAGGCUGGAGUGCGGCAGAGGAGACUGGAAUUCCUGGUGUAGCAGGUGAAAUGCGUAGAUAUCAAGAGGAAUACCGAUGGCGAAGGCAGGUCUCUGGGCUGACACUGACGCUCAUGCACGAAAGCGUGGGUAGCAAACAGG
Molecule: ribosomal RNA, 254 nt
Filed under: uncultured bacterium
Lineage: Bacteria
Description: partial 16S ribosomal RNA
Rfam family: Bacterial small subunit ribosomal RNA
Source: RNAcentral